GAUGAACGCUAGCGACAGGCUUAACACAUGCAAGUCGAGGGGCAACGGGGUUGUAGCUUGCUAUAACUGCCGGCGACCGGCGCACGGGUGAGUAACACGUAUGCAACCUGCCCAUUGCAGGGGGAUAAGCGGAAGAAAUUCCGUCUAAUACCGCGUAAUAUGAGAUUGAGGCAUCUUAAUUUCAUUAAAGAUUUAUCGGCAACGGAUGGGCAUGCGGUGCAUUAGCUAGUUGGCGGGGUAACGGCCCACCAAGGCGACGAUGCAUAGGGGUUCUGAGAGGAAGGUCCCCCACACCUGGUACUGAGACACGGACCAG
This 316-nucleotide ribosomal RNA is filed under the name uncultured bacterium. RNAcentral's name for it is "bacterial SSU rRNA". It matches the Rfam family "Bacterial small subunit ribosomal RNA", at positions 28 to 334 of the family's 1533-position model. The record is from RNAcentral.